RNAcentral lists this ribosomal RNA (426 nucleotides) under Lanice kellyslateri. Its description in RNAcentral is "Lanice sp. k GD-2021 partial large subunit ribosomal RNA". It matches the Rfam family "Bacterial large subunit ribosomal RNA", at positions 1989 to 2608 of the family's 2925-position model. Lineage: Eukaryota; Metazoa; Annelida; Polychaeta; Terebellida; Terebellidae. The record is from RNAcentral.
AGAAUGAAAGGACAAACGAAAGAUUAACUGUCUCUAUACUAUCAAUAAAAAUUGACCUACAGGUGAAGAGACCUGUAUAAAAAUAAAAGACAAGAAGACCCCGUAGAGCUUCGUUUUCUCUUAAGCUACUUCUAUAACUAUUUUAUUAGUUAAGCCACACCUUAAUAAAAACUUAGCUGGGGCGGCUAAGGAGAACAUAAUCCUCCAUUUUUAACUUUUAGCUUUACAAGGCUUAUAAGCCUACUUCUAUAAUGACCCUUCGCAGAUCAAAAGAUAUAGCUACCUCGGGGAUAACAGAUUAAUCCUUCUAGAGAGCUCACAUUGACAGAAGGGAUUGACACCUCGAUGUUGGCUUAGGGUAUCCUAUAAAUAGCAGCAAUUUAUAAAGGUAGGUUUGUUCAACCUUUAAAACCCUACGUGAUCUGA